AGCCGCCACGGUAAUACGUAGGGCGCAAGCGUUGUCCGGAAUUAUUGGGCGUAAAGAGCUCGUAGGCGGUCUGUCGCGUCUGGUGUGAAAUCCCGAGGCUCAACCUCGGGCUUGCAUCGGGUACGGGCAGACUAGAGUGCGGUAGGGGAGACUGGAAUUCCUGGUGUAGCGGUGGAAUGCGCAGAUAUCAGGAGGAACACCGAUGGCGAAGGCAGGUCUCUGGGCCGCAACUGACGCUGAGGAGCGAAAGCAUGGGGAGCGAACAGGAUUAGAUACCCCAGUAGUCCCUGUCUCUUAUACA
RNAcentral lists this ribosomal RNA (301 nucleotides) under uncultured bacterium. RNAcentral's name for it is "partial 16S ribosomal RNA". It matches the Rfam family "Bacterial small subunit ribosomal RNA", at positions 510 to 808 of the family's 1533-position model. The record is from RNAcentral.